Long non-coding RNA from Heterocephalus glaber (naked mole-rat), 36835 nucleotides. Lineage: Eukaryota; Metazoa; Chordata; Mammalia; Rodentia; Bathyergidae. The record is from Ensembl.
GUGUUGGGAGCAAUGCUACAUAAUUCUAGGGAUAAAUCAUUUGGUUAGCCUAGUUCUCUUGCCUACAGCCCAGCUACAGAAUAACUCCAGUUUGGCCUCCGGUCACAACUGAGACUUCAGUGAUCCAGUGAUGCUGUGAUUCUCCAGGACAAGAAACAUCCUGGGAGAACAAACAUCUGCUCAGUUCCUCAUUGUUCUUGGACUGAUUAACAUCUCGUUUACCGGAGAUGUACUGAACUCUCUGCAAGCCUUCCGUUACACCUUGUUUAUCCCAAUGUGAACUAUUGAACUCUCUGCAAGUCAUUUGUUACAUUUGUUUCUCCGGAUGUACUGAAUAAAAGGUGUGGUAAGCUGGGGGCUUUGUCUUUGCUGCCCAGAGCAGCACUCAUCAGAACCAAAGCUCAGCUUCUUCUCAGUCUCAUUUUUCUACCUUUCCUGUAAUUCGCUGUGUGCUGCCGUGGCUUGCAGGAGACCAGGACUAACUGCAGAGGUUCUGGUAAUGUCCCCUUCCCCUGUCCCCUACAUUUGGUGCCCAACGUGGAUGUGAAUCGGAUCCAGGGGUGAACUCACCUGUGAGACAAACUUGGAGUAAGAGAGACAGCACACGGAUCUCCCAGGACGAUUUCCGGACUAGGACGAGGGACACCAGUGGUAAGUGUGUCCAGCUGGGGGUAAUUUUCUAUCUUUGCUGAGUUAUAACUAUGGGUCAGUCUCUGUCCACAGAACAGCGUAACUUUGCCAAAUUACUUAAGUUGCUGUUAAAGCAAGCUGUGUACCCAGUACCUAAGGGUGCUGUGAAGAUUUGUUAAAAGACAUGCAAAUGUAUGUCCCAUCUUUUCCCCAGGAAGGGACAGCUUAACUUAAUAUCAUGAGAACGUGUAGGUACCGCUCUCUGUGAGGCCUGGCAAAGGGGUAAUUGCCUCUCCCCUGACCGCUCCCCACUUGGGCCUUAGUCCACUGAGGUCAGAGUUGCUAGCCAUUAUAUUUGUGAUUGAAAACUUCCCUCCCCAACCUCUUAAUAUUUUAAAUGAUUCCUCUUAUACAGUUUGGUUGACUCAAAGACUAAGGAGCAAUGGUCUACUCUACCUUAGAACCUAAAUUAUUAAACUUGUUUUUAAGAUUACAAAAGGCCAUAUGUCAAAAAAUUCCUCCUGCCUUAAUAACGUGGGGGAGAGGUUUCGCCUGUGCCCUAACAGAUAAUGAAAAAAAUCUUGUGGCUGCCCUCCUGGAAUGUGAGACCGUGGGUCACGCUGGUGGAACCGCCAACAUCUCACAGAAUCAAUGAUAGCACCCUGGCUGAAAGCGAUGAGCCAGCUGCACCUCAGGGACCCACCUCACCAGCGACAACCAACAAAUCCAUGGCAGGGUCCAGGACUGAGAUGAUGCCCCCAGAGGAAUGAUAAUUAUAGAUUUAUGGUAAAAAAUUUAUAAAGGUGGGGGACAACUUCAAAAUGCUCCUUUUAUAUUUACAGGUAUAAAAGCGCUUUCAUUCCUUCUGAUUAUAAUCUCGAGAUCUCUGUUAAUUGACUAUUCCAAAGUUUUUGACCAGUCAUACAAUUAUAAAUCUAAUAAUCAUAAAAAGGAUAUUACGAUUCAAUUUGGCUAAAUAUAUUUGCUUGCACUCUGAUUUUGUAAAUUGUCUUAUAUGUUUGUCUGUUGUCUGUUUGUCUGUUUGUACAGUUGAGCUCAAUUUUUUUUUUCUCUUUUUCUUUUCACCUUUUGAAAAAAAAAAUUUUUUUAAAGAUAUUCACCUAUUGUUAAAUUCGCUUACAGGUAAAUGUUACUAAAUUAAAGGCAUGCCUUCCUUCCCAGGUUGCUAACUGAUCAAAGUGCCACUGAGAUUUAUUUUAUAAAAGUAAUGUAUAUUGUCACCUACAUGCAAUAAUCAAAUUGCAAUAAGCAGUUGUAAAAUAGGAAGAUAUAUAUAUUCUUAUUCUUUGUUUGUCAAAAUAGAGACUGUGGGUACUCUCUUUGGUGAAUAAACAAGUGGCCACCCAGAAAAUAAUUAUUCUGGUCUUAAUUCACUAAAGGGACCCCCUAGUAAUUUUUAUAAUCUUAUGGGAGACACACCACAACAAAUAUUGUCUCAAUGUGUUAUUAUAAAUUGAUUACAUUGGUUAUCAUUGAAGUUUAAAUUCUAAAUAUGUUAUAAAUUGAUUACAUUGGUUAUCAUUGAUGUUUAAGCGCUAAAAAUGUGAUUGUAAAAUGUUUACAUUGGUUAUGUUCUGAAUAUGUUAUUGUAAUAUGUCCACAUUGGUCAUCUUCAAAAGCUUAAUUUCUGUGUCAUAAACAAGAGUGUUAUUAGAAAGAUGGUUUUGGUACCAAACCACAGUGAAGAAAAUAAGGUUUUAUGUAACUAUGAUAUUUAUUACUGCUCCUUUUCUGGUGUACAAAAUGUAUUCAUGCCCUCUAAUUGUAUGGGUCUUCUAACAUUGUUUAUGGUAAUAACCUUUUGAUUCAGGUAUUUGCCCUUUUCUUAUGCUCCAGCCACCUAUGAAAAUAGGCACACUUGUAGGUUGAUAUAUUUUCCUUAGAUGAUGUCCUAUAAAAAGAUAGCUACUCAGGGAUCCAACCACAACAGCAACUGUCAUUGGCAAUAAUAACAGUUUAACUAUAUUUUUAUUCCAAAAUGCUUAUCUCCAGGUAAAAUUAUAACAGUUGAGUUCACUACUCCUCUUACAAUGCUAAUGUUAUUGAUCUUCUCUUCUGGGUGUUCAACAACCAAAGUUUAGAGACCAAAACUGAAGAGGUAUUUGGGCUAAGAAGGCAGCCAAUAUUUUGGCCCUGGCCCUCCAAGGUCAACAACAAUAACAAAAAUAUCCAGGAUAUGAGGGAACCAUCUCUGAGAUCCUGCAUUUUUGGUGAGUCAUCCAACCUCCUGAGCAGGGAGGUUGCUGAACACCAAAACAGUAAAGAUCCAACAAAAAGUGUGCCAAAGGAAUGUCACCUGGAGGAAAAAAUCUCCCAUGCUUUCGCAGGAAGCAACAUGGUCAAGCAAGGCCGUGACAUAUCCUGAUGGGUGACACUGACAGAGGAGCUAAGAGGCUCUAUGCGUGGUUCCAAGACAGUGCCUGUGGAGACUUAAUUGACCUUGUUAGAUAACAAGAGAUUGAUUUUAUUUAAUAUAGGUUUCACCGUAACUUGAUCUUAAACACCCAGUAGAAAAGUAUAACUAAAGACAAUAGUUAUUUGAGUUCAACGAAAGUUUUAAGUUUUUAAACCCAAUGUUUAAAAACAAAUUGUUAGAUUUUUUAAUCCUUUUUCAGCCCCAAUUAAGAAAAAUUAUGCUUAUUAUAGACAGCUGAGCCAGUCAAACUAUAAAUCCUCACACUACAUAGGGACAAGCCAUUGUUGGGUGUGCUUGCUUUUCAAUAAAACUCCUUCACAUAAAACAAAAAGAAAGGGAGAUAUGUUGGGAGCAAUGCUACAUAAUUCUAGGGAUAAAUCAUUUGGUUAGCCUAGUUCUCUUGCCUACAGCCCAGCUACAGAAUAAUUCCAGUUUGGCCUCUGGUCACAACUGAGACUUCAGUGAUCCAGUGAUGCUGUGAUUCUCCAGGACAAGAAACAUCCUGGGAGAACAAACAUCUGCUCAGUUCCUUAUUGUUCUUGGACUGAUUAACAUCUUGUUUACCGGAGAUGUACUGAACUCUCUGCAAGCCUUCCGUUACACCUUGUUUAUCCCAAUGUGAACUAUUGAACUCUCUGCAAGUCAUUUGUUACAUUUGUUUCUCCGGAUGUACUGAAUAAAAGGUGUGGUAAGCUGGGGGCUUUGUCUUUGCUGCCCAGAGCAGCACUCAUCAGAACCAAAGCUCAGCUUCUUCUCGGUCUCAUUUUUCUACCUUUCCUGUAAUUCGCUGUGUGCUGCCGUGGCUCGCAGGAGACCAGGACUAACUGCAGAGGUUCUGGUAAUGUCCCCUUCCCCUGUCCCCUACAAUUCUGAUUGCUCAACAUAUACCUCUUCUCUCAUUUUACAGCCCUGCUUAUGAUACUUGUUAUCAGCAGGAGACCCAAAGGCUGCACACCUUCCCUCCUUCCCAUUCUUGUAAUGAAUAAACACUGGACAUCUUUGGUGUUCUUUGUCUUUGCUGUUCAGAGAAGAUCAGAUCAGCCAAAGACCCAACUUCACUGAAGUCUCUGUCUCUGUGUCUUUAUUCUCUCUCUCUUUUCUAUCUCAUGGAUGUCAUACUGGCUCAUAGGAGAUCGAGACCCAUGGCUGGGGAUUUUGAUAAUCCCUCUUAUAGUUUCAGAUUUACUCCCAUGAUAGUAGAUAAAAUAUUCUAUUAUAGGAUGGCUACUGCACUUUUAAAUUACCUUUUGUUUCUAUCAUAGUGUAAGUCCAGGCUGUAUCUGUUUAAUUAAGCAUCAUGUCUACCAUAUUCCUGGGGACUGGUUAGGUGUAAGUACUUAUGCCUUAAUUAAAUGUGUUUGACACAGUCAAUAUGAAAUCUAACAAUGCUGAGAAAUUAAUUAUAAUAUCUACUCUAUUAAUUUAUUUAUGUUUUAAAGAUGUAACUAAGCUUUGGAAGACAUUCAAAUUUUUAAGAUUUAUAAGUCAGAUAUGAAGUUUCCUCUAAAUACAAAUACAAGAAAAUAGUUUAUAAGAAAUAUUAUUUGUUUUUUUUAACAAGUCUUAAUUAAUCUAAGCUUAUGUUUUCUAAAACAAGCCUUAUCCAAAGAAACAAAUGAGUGCCUUUUCUGCUUCAGAAUUUCUUUGUAAGAGAGGCUUAGGCUCAUUAAUCAAUUGUGAAGAAAAACUAGGCUGCUUUGAAACUUUGCUUUCAAAUUAAGCCCUUUUUAAAGGUCUUAUGUUAUAUAUUUCUGUUACUAUUGGCAUAAACUGAUAGAAGUUAUGGAAGGGCAUCCUAAAUAAAAAUGGAAAACCAAACAAAACAAAAAUAUUGGCAGUACACUAUUGUUUUAACUCUUGGGUAUAUAAAAUACAAGCAAUGGCAGAAUUAUGCCAUGAAGUGAGCAUAAUAUGCACCUUGUGGUUAGAAUUUCUGCAUUUUUAUAUGGCUAGAAGCAUAGUUAUUCAAAUAAUUCAAGUCUCAAUUAUUUUUUGAUAACAUAUGCAUGAACAUGUAUAAAAAUUCUACUCCAAUCAUAGACCCUGCUUUGUGCCCUUAUUUCUUACAAAAAGCCCAGGAAGAAGGUAAAAACAAGAGUGCUAUUGGACUUUAUAAAUGAUAAUUAGUAUCAUCUGUUCCUUAACAAUUAUGCAUUUUUGUGUUUAAAGGCUACUAUGAUUUAAUAAUAUUGAGGGCAGAAUUAAAUAUCUUUUAAAAACAUUUAGGUAUGCAAAUUUGAGGUAUGGCCAAGAGCUCGAACAGAUGUUUAAAAUUCUAGCUGAAUCUGUUUGUUCAUUCUAAAUAUGUGUACAUAAUGUAUUGUGUGUGUGCCAUUUUAUCAAGCAUAUUUGCAUGUAAAUGUAUGUAUGGCCCUGAUUCUGCCAUCUUUAAUCAUGCAAAACUACCAGUGGCUUCUGGUGGAAUUAGAGACAUAUCAGUUGGGGCACAAUUAGCCCACAGAGAAGAUCUUAAAAUAGCUAGAGCAACUGUGUCUGUAUUAGUUACUUUUGUCUUUGUUGAAACAAAACACUUGACACUCACAAGUAAAAGGAGAAAAGAUUUAUUUUAGCUCACAGUUUGUCAAGGUUUCAGCCCAUAAUUGCUUGGCUCCAAGGCAGAGGGGCAUCACAGAGGAGAAACAACUCAUGGUAUGGCAGACAGAGGCAGCAAGCAGGAUCAGCAGCAAGCCUGCCUUUCCUAUCUCACUUUAUAUUCCAUCCAGCAUACAAACCAUCCAGGGUAGGACUUGUAUUAUCUACACCCAUUAUCCCAGUAUUAUACCUUUAAUCCACAUUCUCACACCAUAAAUUCAGCUACCUGUGAAAAGCUCCACCUAUGAGUGCAUGAGGCUUUGGGGAAAUAUCUAGCCACAAGACAUACCAGUGUCUGCUGACAAUAGAUAUGCAGUUAUAAAGCAAUGCUUAUAGUCAAAGAUUGACAAGAACUUCAUAAGCCUAAACAGAAGAUUUAUAAGGGAACCUCUGAGGUAUGAUAUUAAUGUAAAAUUAAUAGAAACUUCAGUUCUUUCUGUUGAUUAGUGUCAUGUUAAUAUUUUCAACCUAUUUGUAUCUAUUUUUAGCAUAAAUUUCUCUUGUUCUUCUCUUGUUACAUAUACCUCAUACAUAUAACUCCCACACAUCUCUAUUAGUGAUUUACUUAAUACGAGGAACCCUGACUUAGAGUCCAUCAAAGUACUCAGAUAAUUUCUACUGACAUAGGUAUAUAGUGCUUAUAGAAAAUAAACUAAUGCAUUUUUAAGCUAUUUUUUCCUUAUAGUUCAACACAAUUUUUACUAUGGUAGGUUAAAUUUUUCUGAGUUUCAAUAAACAUUUUGAUGUUUAGUUAAUCUGUACUGUUUAGUAAAAAUUUUAAAGUGGAUCUCUCUUUAUUUGACAGAUUCAAUUGUUUAAUAAAAAUAACUUAGCAAUUUCUGUUUGCUGGAUAUUUUUAUUGAGGAACAUCUCAAUGUAUUUCACAAUAAAUCCCUUUCAUAUAUCUAUAUUAACAUCUAUAUAAAUGUUUUGAUUUUGUAUCUAUGGAGAACCUUGACUAAUAUAACAUUAAAGCAAUUCUUUCUCCUGAAGAUUAUUUAAAUAUAAAAAGCUCUACUAAAUGAAUAACUCUUUCACUAAGAUAAAAUCAACAAUAAAAUUAAACAGCAGGAAAAGGUACAAACACUGCAAGUAGAAACUUGUAAGCUUUGUCCAAAAUAAGUUCCCAAAGAAUGGUAUAUUCUUAAAUUUAUAUGUUAGAAGAUACAUUUGGAAUAUUUCCUACUUGUAUGUAAUAGUGGACUGCUAAGUGUGUGGAAAAUUCAUGAGACUUUUUAUUGAAAGUUACUAUUAAGAAUAAAUAUUUAAAAUUUCUACACUAGGAUAUUUAAAACAGGUUACAUAUUAUAUCUACUUACUCUGUCUAAAAAUCUGUGUAUAUUUUCCCAAAAUGUGUCAAUCUAACCUACACAGCUCUUAUCCUACUACAGUAUAAAAAGUUCAAAAACGAUGAAUAGAGAUAGUAUAGAAAGUACUUAAAGCAGACCAAUGGCUUCAUAAGACUCUUGAAAUUAUAUUGUGCACAUAGGAUAAGAAAUACUAUUUAUUGGGGCUGAGGAUUUAGCUCAGUGGUUUUGCCACCUGCUGCACAAGUGCAAGGACCCGAGUUCGAUCCCCAGUACCUGAAAAAAAAAAAAGAAAAAAAAAGAAAUACUAUUCAUUUGGCAAAUCUUUUAGCGUAAGGAAGAGUAUGUUUGCAUUAAAAUCAAUGUUAAUUAAAAACACCUCUGAAGUGCUUCUAGGAGUCAUGUUUAAUAUUAUUUUAUUUCUGACAAUUGAAUAAUACAAUUACAUCUAAUAACAACAGUAUAAUAUAUUUAAUUUUAACUAACUAGUAGUAUACUACUGAAAUUUUUUGAGACUAAUUCUAUCACAGAUAUAUUAAGAGGCUAAAGUAGUACAAAACAGUUAUUUUGGUUAAGAAAAUUAUUUUCUCAUUCAUUCAUAUAGAUGAAAGAUUAAUAUGCCUAUCCAUCAUAGAAUUACACAAUGAUGUGAUAAUACUAGAGAAUAUAUUAUAAUGUAUAUUAUAUUGCAUACAUAAUAUAUAGUUAUAUAUAUACUAAAUAUCAUACUUGAGAAUAUAUGUAUGAUAGAUUUAUUUCUUAUAAAUAUAGUAUAGAAUAUAGAACAAACCUUUGCAUUCAGGCAUGUCAACUAUGUAUGUACUCCAUCUCUCUCAUAUGUCCAUAUAAAACAGCCUGGAUUAGACCAAAAGAGCAGUGAUCAUAUAGGUAGCUGGAGGCUUCUAAUAUUCCAAAGAUCAAUGGAGUUGAGCAAUGGUAAGUAUACUGUUAAGAAGUUGAAAUCUACACAGGAGCACAAAACAAAAGGUAAUACUUAUUCAAAUAGACUCAAUGCAAUUUAUUCAUCUUUUUAUGUGAAGAGUUUAUGAAAAAAUGACUCAUUUUCUUUUCCUUUUCCUAAAGAAGGAAAAAAUGAAAACAAAGCUUUUGUGAAUAAGGAGGGGAAGAAGGGAUAAAGGGAGGGUAAUGGAAUGGGAAAACAAAAAGUAUCAAGAUAUAUCAUGUACAGGUACAAAUUCCCUGUGAUAAAUGUAAUUUUUAUGUAUAUCUAAAAUGUACCAAUAAGCUUAAUUAAUAAAAAAUGGAAAAAUGACUUUGCCUAUUAUCUUUAGCAGAUACUAAACUAUCUAUUAUUCAGGUAAUUUAUACUAAAGUUAAUUUCACUUUCCCUGAGCUAUUUCAAAGGGCAACUACACUCUCCCUUUGGUGGAAACAGUUUUUGAAAAGCCAACCGUACAGUUAUACAAUAGAUAUCAUUUUGAACUUUUUGGAAUUUAGUUUUAAAACAGCACAAAAAACAACCAUAAAAGGGAAUAAUAAUGUAUUAGAUUUUAGAGGCAAAUAAAACAAGGUAGGGAGAAAAAAAGUUUUGAAAAGUAGUAUAUAAAGAGUCCACAUCAUGUGAGUUUAAACAAGAAGAAAAAUGCACAUUAUUCUUUUGUAUUUUGUGUCUAUAAUACAACAAAAUAUAAUUAACAAUUAAAAAUUGCAUUUGCUUCUCCAAAUUGUCAAUAUUCUAAAUCUGAUAUCUUUUUCAUCAAACAAUCUUUUUUUCACUUUCUUCUUUAUUCAAUAAAAAAUAGACUUUCCAAAACUCACUGUUACUUUUUGAUUUUUCUUAAGUGUGACUGGCCUGAAGGUGGCAUUGUUGGAGUAGAUCAACUCUUUGGUUGAUUCCUGAUGAGAUGUUGUUACAGUAAAUCAGCUGGUGUGAAGAUGGAAACGUUAUACUCUGGACUCUACUGGAGUUCAUCUCUGCUAUUUGUAUUUUCUUGCCAGGAUUUUCUAAACAAAAUUUUAUUUGCAUUGGAGAAUUGGCCAUUUUAUUUCCCAAAUAUUUGGAAUUAAGUGGCAUGGUCCUGGUUUUGGAUUUUCAUCAACCUUAAAUAAAAAUAUUUAUUAGUAUUAUUAGUAUAAGUAUCAAAACAUUUAUUAUUAAUUAAUUAAUUUAUUUAUUUAUUUUGGUUCCAGUGUUUGAACUUGGGUCCUUGUACUUGUGAGGCCGGUGGCGGAACCACUGAGCUAAAUACCCGGCCCCAAAAUAUUUAUUGGUACAUAUAUAUAUGCAUAUAUAUAUAUAUAUAUAUAUAUAUAUAUAUAGCAUUCAUCAUAGGGAAUUUCCUCCUGUACAUAAUACAUCCUACAUUUUUUUCCCAUUCCCUCCUUCCCCUUAGACCUCCUCCCAUUUAUAUACAAAAAUUUUAUGUCCAUUUUUUCCUUCCAUUAAGUAAAAAUCUUGUGGCCCAUAAAUUGUUUCAUUUUUUAAUUGUGGUAAUCAAAGAUAUUAGCAUAUACCAGUUUCAGGCCUUCAGCAAUCUCUACUGUAAGUUAAUAUAUUUUACUCCUAUAUAAUGUGUCUAGGAUUCAUAUCUUUAGUGAUUGCUGCUCCAUUGGUCUUGUAGCAAACCCCAGCCAUGCAUUCUAUACACUCAUAUUUUUCAUUAUUUUGUUCAAAAGCUGAGUAAAAGGAUCAACUAGAACUCUUUUUGCUUUGAUGCAAUAUUUUCAGGGGCAUGUUCCUCAGCUGUCAUUCCUUUUCAGUUUGGUGUGCAUGGUUGCCUGUUUGUACCUUGAUCACCCUUCAGUCUUUCUUCCUCGACACUCCAGAGUCAAGGAAAUUCCAGGGAUCUGAUUUUAAGAAGAGUUCACUGGUUCAGCCUCCUUGGGUGACCCAGCCACUUCAGCUCCCUCUGUGCUACUCUUUUUUUAAAAUUAUUAUUAAUUUUAUUGGUACAAUUAAGGUAUAUUGCUGCUGUAAGAAAUGAGAACCCAGGUGAUCCUGAUAUAGGGGAAGAGAUGUAAUUUCCAAACCUCCUAGAUAUCCAAAACGUGAGUUCCUGUUCUCUAAAAUUGAAGAAUGAAUUCUAGGAACAAUGAAGUUUAAGAGUAGCAAAAAUGUAUUGGGAGAAAGAAAGCUUCUUCCUAAGAGAGAUAGAAGGGGGACUGAAAAGUGGGUUGCCUGCCCACCCCACUUUUCAAAGAUGUUUUAUGCAGUAAAGCCAUGCGGUGAGGUGGGUACGAAGUGGGACAAAACUAUAAGAUCCAAUGGAAAUUUACAAAGUGGGCAUUAGGUGGGACAAAAUCAUGACCAACCAAAAAGAUUGCAAGUACAGUCACCCAGGUAAUAUUGAUUAAAUGGGGAUCAAAUGGGAAGACAAGUCACAUAUAAGGAAUUUCCCAUUUAGAAUAUCAAUCACUGCUAUCUAUCCCCAGGGGAAGUAAUACUUCUUUUCCUUUUUAUAAUGCUAACCAGUGAAUAUGCCUCAAUUGUUCUCCAUGUUGGUUCCUUGCAGUGUUGGCUCCAGGAGGCCUGGUGCCUUAAGGGAGGCCCUGUCUGCCUGACAAUAAGAUAUCUAAUUAACUUACCUAUCUAUAAUAAUCCCACCCAGGGGCCACUUUAUGGACUUCAGCAGCUGUUCAGUGAAACAAUUAAUUUCAGCAUUACAGAGUUGUAUUAUUUCCCUAAAAUGGUGAUUACAUUCUUUUCUGGUUUUCAUUCAUUUGUUUGAUAGCUUCAAUGACAAAAAAGCAUCAUACAUCUCUUGUUGUACCAUAUUAAAGCCCAAAGUCUUACUGUAGCAAUACUAAAAAUCAUCUGUUUUUGCUCUUCAGUCAGAUUUUACAUCCUUGAAAUAAAUGUCAGAUAACUGUGCCCACAACCCAAGUAGAAUUUUAUUUGAAGUAGAUCCUAAAAAAUGUACACCUUUUAAAUUUCUUCUCAUCUACUUUAAAGGAAUAAGGCAUUUGUACAAAGUAAAAAUACUCUGAAUUGUUUAUCAUGUCCUGUAAGCAAGAAUAAGUCAGUAUAAAUCAAGUGAUAGCUAUGAAAUGUAUAUUUAUUCCAAAAGUUAUCUGGCAAGUAUUAUUGACAAAUAAAAAAAUUUAGCCAUAAAAAGGUAAAAUCACAUACCUCAAAGGGUACCAGUAAGCACUUCCCUUCUCACUUACCUCUACAAUGCCAAACUUGUAAGUGAAACUUAUGCUGUUUUGUUUGACACUAUGUUUUAAACCAUUUCAUUUGUAAAAACUAAAUUCCUAAAAUAUAUAGUAGGUAAGUCUAUACUCUAUUGGCUCAACAAAAAUUAAUUGGAGUUUUCUCUAUGAGCUCGGUAGUAUUCUAAGCAGUAAAGAGGCAUUAAGGAAUGAAAGGGAGAGAAUAUAAAUUUUUUUAAAUUUUAAUAUUUUUAUUAGUACAUGUUUGCAGUACAUGUAGAGCAAUAGAUGUAGAAAGCUGGUACUUGUUUUUUAUACCCUACCCUUCUUUUCCUUCCUUAAUCCUUCCAACACUUCCCCUUCCCAUUUGCAAAAGCUCUAAUUUCUCCUUUAAUUUUCCCAUUCUGUUUUUCUCUCCUCCAUCCAUCUCUUGCUCCACCAUCUACUGGGAAAUAUCUUUUAUCUUCUAUUUUUCUUUCUCUCUCUCUCUUAUAUACUUAUAUAGUAUGUAUAUAUGAGAAAUCAUUUGAUUUUUAACCUGGUUGUCUGACUUAUUUCACUUAAUAUUAUGAUUUCAGUAAAAUAACAGAAACAAACAAUUAGUAAAAUAAAAAGUAAGUUGACUCUGGACAUAUUUUCUAUAAAAAAGAAAGAAAGUAAAAUUGAUAUUUGAUUGAAUUCUAGCUAUUGUAUUGUCAGAAAAAGCUUCAGUGAAAAUAUGCAAAGUAGGAUAAAGUACAGGAGAAACUGUGGCUAUGUAUCAUGUUAAAUUGUGUUCCAAGAAACAAAUACCAUUGUUUUCUAGGAUAUAAUGGCCCCUAGGACAGUAAGCCUCAACUACAUUGAGAUACAUAAAAUGUUGAAAUACAAAAUUUAUUUUAUUGUCACAACAUGGGCUGUGAUUGCUUCAGGUAGUUACUAAGUAGAGGUUACUGUUCCAUAGGACAGGUCCCUACAAUAAAGAAUAAUCCAGCCAUAAUUAGUAAUGCUAAUAUUUAUAAUGACUGUUGUAAGAUGGUAAUUUAUCUUUUCUUUCAAACAUGGCAAGGAGGCUAGGGGGCUGGAUCACAAUGAGAUAGUCACAGACUGCCAGCUAUUGGAGCCAAUUUAAUAAGAUCACUGCAUGCUGUCACAAAAAUGGUGUUGGAUGAGAAGACUGGGUGACAAAGGGAAGAGGUUGUGACAAGUAUUGAGGAAAACAUGAUGUCCACUUGCAUCUGUGGCAUAAUAGUGGAGCAAUGAGCGGUGGUCCAAUCCUGAAUAUGUUGUGCCCAGAUUGCGUAGUCCCAAAGACCACCAGGAAGCCAAUCCCGAUGUAAGCACACGAGGGUCAUUUAUUCAAGCUCGAGCAGGGGCUCUCAACUGUCACCGACGCAGUGGGUCGAGAUUGAGAGCCCCAAAUUUCAAAUUAGCGGGACUUUUAUAGAGGUUACAGCAAGGUUUGGAGAUUUUCCACUUAGCAGUUACAUGAUUGGUUGACAAUUAGCAAGCAUGAAGUGUACAUUUCUGAUUGGCUAGGUGCAUCAGGGGUUGAGGGGUGGCUACAUGUAGGUUUUACAAGGGAAAAGAGGGACAAAGGUUAGUGGCCGACUGUCACGUACUGAUGGUCAGCAGACACACUGACUAAUAGUCACGACCAUUACGUGCUUACAGUCAGCACAUCUACAGAUUGUUCUAUAGAUAGAGGGCCCGGAACGUUCAUUUCCUGGGCAAACAGAUGGCUGAGUAAUUACCUCAGGAAUUUUGCUUCAUUACAGAUUGUAUCUUUUGUCCCAAAGUAAGCACAUUUUAACCAUUAAUUUGUGAGAGACUAGGGGAAUGGUGGAUUUUAGCAAAAUGGAGUCGCUUUGGUCUCACAAAUAUAUUUGAGGGUAAAAUAAAUACGACUUUCUGAGCUGAACUUGGGAGUGGGGAUGAGGCCAAAGGGACAGAGAAAAAGCCAGUAGCAAUUGAAAUAGACUUGCCAUUAACUGAGAGGAGAACACCUUCCAUCGGAUGUCCUUGCCUUUAGGAGCUGAGCUCUAUUGUAUUAGUUUUAAAAUAAGCAUAUUUAUGUAAAUAUAUUUGAAUAUCUAUGAUUGUCCCUAUAUUUCACAAGCUGUAAAACAUCCAAAAGGGGAAAUUCAAGGUUUGGAGAGAGUUUAGAUAUUUAAUUUAGGGUUAUUAGGCAGUAGUUGAGGAAAUUAGAAUUACCACACUGAAAGCUGUGGUAGAUUCAAAUUUGAGGGCUUGUUAUUUGGAAAAAGUAAACUAAUUAUUCAGAAGUGUUAAAACAGACUCAAAAAAAUGAGAAGAAAUUUGAGAUAGCAGAUUAUAUUUUAAAAUAAUGAAAAGAAAUUGAAGAAUAGGGGCUCUACAAUACUAAAACUGUUGGGUCUUUUUUUGUUAUUAGCUGUUCACGCUGAAUGUGAAAGGUUUUGUUUGGGGAAUAAUGAGAGAUAUUUGUCUCUUGGGAGAGAUAUGAGGUUCUUUGGAGUGUGUGUUUUUUUUGUGUGUGUGUUUUGUUUUGGCACCCAGGAUUGAACUUGGGUCCUUGCGCUUGCGCAGUAGGCGGCAAAACCACUGAACUAAAUCCCCAGCCCGAUAUGAGGUUCUUAAACACUAAACACCAUCAUUGCUAUUCACUGUUGUGUUCACAAGUCAUCAAUGCACCAUAAUAAAUUUUGUAACCAUCAAUGAAUAUAGAAAAUAGAACAAUUAUUUUGCACAAUAUUUUGUAACAAUAGGAUCUCUCAUUUGCAGACAUGAGUUGUAGUUUAAUCAAAUGAUUCAGGUUCAGUAAAGGCAUCUUUGUUUGAUUUUUAAUGAAUAUACAUAGCCAUUUUUUAGAAAUUUGCACAGGAGUAUGAUAAAUCUCACCCAAAUAGAAUAACUGCAGCAAUUCUUUUCCCAGGUGCUGUCCUGAAGAGGGUUACACCUUCUAGACACAGAAAUACCUGACAGAGCUCAUUUUGUUAUUUUUCUCCAGUCAGCAGUACUUAACAAUUUUGUUUAAAGAUAACUAUGAUCUGGAGAAUAUUGUACACUUUGUUCUCCAUUUUAAAAUGUGCAAAUAUGAUUUGCUAGUUUCUAGUUUUUGCAAUUAUUAACUUUUUCUUCAAUGAGAAAUGUAAUUACAGCUAAAUUCUGUAACACUUGUCAGGAAAUUUAAGAAUGCCUCCAGCAAUCUGAAACUACUUGAGCUGCAUUGAGCUAUUUUAGAAAAUAAAUUGAUACAAUUUUUGUGCAUUCCAGAGGUGUAUGACCUUAAGGGCAACUGGAAAUUUUAAGGGAGUACUUUGUUAUUCAGAAUGGAAGAGUACAUCAAAAAAUCAAUAGCUAAUAAUUACCAGUGAUGCUGUUUUGUUUUGUUUUAAUUACAUGAGUUUGUUAUAAAAUAUAUACAUAGAUUCAGAAAGUUGCUGGUUCCAUUAUUUUCAGGAUGAUAAUCAUUUCUUUUUGAGGACCUUGCUCUGUACCUAGUUUUCCUUCUUUAAAAAUCAGGACUAUAGUUGGCUGAUAAGGAAAGACUUUAGGCAUUUUUAUCAGUUUAUACGUUGGCAAGCCUGACUUUUGUGACAGGUAAAAGAGAUACCACCCUAAAUCCUGAUUCUCCUUGCACAAUUGGUUCAUCAUUUUGACAGGCAAAUCAACCCAAAAGGCAAGAAAUCUAUUUUUGGAUGUGGCAAGUUCCCUUAUUUCUUUUUCUUUUUCUUUCUUUCUUCCUUUUUUUUUUUUUUUUUUUUUGAUUGUGCAUAAAUUGUUAAAAAUGGUUGGAAACACAGACUAGAAACCUGUUUUAUGAUUUUGUACUAUUUGGGAAAGUCAGAAUAAUUCCUAUUACAUGGUGGGAAAUAAAGUGGGCCUAUUCCAUAUCAGAUUUCUCAUACAUGUCAAGCAUUCUCAGGAAAAACAAUUGUACAAUUAAGAUUUGAAAUCCUUUCCAGCAAAAAAAGCAAAAUCCUGAAGAAAAAUAGUGACUUAGUUAUUCAAAUUCUUCCUUAAAUAAAAAAUAUUUUUAAAAUAUAUUAAUUUGAAUAAGUUGUGUUAUCUCUCUGGACUCCAGUUUUCUCAUUUGUAAAAUAGAGAUAAUAAAAAUAGGCCCUAUCUAUGUUCCAGGGAAGAAGGUUUGAAUAGGAUACAUAACUUGGUGAUAGUCAUGAAAUCAGAAACUGUCUAAAUAGCCUUUAUGUCUAAUCUUUUAUGUCUUAACUCUUUACCUGUUUAUCAUAGUUGCAUAAUUGUAUUUUUAUUUUUAUAUCAUAUGGCCACUCUUCACUUAUUAGUUGAUAUUGUUUUGGGCAACACGUGAAUUUGUGGAUCUCUUCCUCCUUGAAAUGCUCAUUUCUCAUGGUUGGGUUCAGCAUCAUUCCCUCCUCUGAACUUUCCUCCUCCCCUAUUAUUGAUUGUUAUAAUGAAAGAUUCUCUUGUGAGAUGUUUACUUACUUUCUCUUAAUAUAUUAUUACUUGGCUAAUCUGUGAUUCCAUCCCUUUUUGGAUAUAAAAGCACAAUCACUACUUCUGUUCAGUUCUCUAAUCACAGUCCAUUUACUUCCCCUAAAUUCUAUAUAGACAGUAGUAUCCUAAAGAUUUCAAAUUGGCUCUCCCAGGCAUCUGGACUUAUUUUUUAUAGAAAACCUAUACUGUAACUACCUUCCCUGUAUCAAUGAUGAAUAUUAAUUUGUGCAAUCAAAUGUAGGAACUGGAGCAUUCCCAUUCCUAAAUCUUUCAUUACAACAAUUGUUUUGGUGAUUUGUUCCCUUUAGCACCUCAAAAUUAGUGCCUGUUUUAAGGACAAGGUAACAUGUAAGAGCAAUAGAAAUAUUUACAAUGGUAAUAGUUGACCCUUAUCAACACAAUGAGAUGAUAGUUUCUUGUUGUUUUCCAAAGCAAAAUGAAAUCCAGACUUUGACUUGGAAGAUGUUUGUUAACAGCUGGAAUAAUCAGUAACUCCGCAGAACCUGAGCCACACCAUCUGCUUUUCUUAGCUGUACAUACACCUUCUUUGUUUCUGAGCACAUUCUCAGAUGGGCCUCAUGACUAAACUUCUGCUUGCAAACAAGAAAGAUAAAAGCUUUUAGAGCUUGACCAGAAGGAGGUGAUAUAUGGAACCAAUCUUUGACCCAGGUCACUCAAGUCAAUUUUCUUUAUUAAUGAGAGUGUUACAGUCUAUGGAUCUCAAUACUUGUUAUUCAAAGAGAACUCUAAAGAACUUAUUCUGAAAAUGUGAAGAAAACUCACCCCUAAACACAAUUGCUACAAAACAGUGACUAGUAAAAUUAAUACUAUAUGAUUUUAUUUCAGGUAGCAGAAAUCAACUGAGAAUGGCUGCUGUGCUUUCAAUAUUAUGCAGCUGGUAUGUCAAGAGGGCAAAGAAGUAAUCUGCAAGUGAUACUAGCAAAGAUCAUCUAAUUGAUGAGAAGUUAAUUUUGAUGACUUACUCCAAAAAAGACUGUCCCCACUGCAGAGGACAGAAGAAAGGAACAUACCACAUGGGCAGAUGUGUAUCUUCUGUAAUAAAUACAUUCUAAGCACAUAAAAUCAGCCCAAAGAGAACAUCCCAAUGCUGCUGACAAAGAAAACUUUGGGGAUUAUGUAUAUCUCCUUUUCUUUUUUCUUUCUUUUCGUUAGGAUAAAUAUCUGUUAGGAAUUAAUGCAUUGGAAGAGGAAAAUAAGGUAAUCUGCCUACCAGUUCACCAGAUAUUCUUCUUCAAUAAGUCUUGUAUGCCAACUAUGGUUCCCCACUCAGAUUCCAGUUUGCAGCACUGGAAAGCAACAACAGCAGCAACACACUACUGGAAAGUUUAUUAGUAUACUCCAUUGUGAUUUGAGGAACUAUGCCUAAUUUAUCAUGAUAUUCUAAAAUCCAUCAUAAUACCUAAAAACAUUGGGUGUUUAAUGAAAUCUUUUUCAUCAAGACAGUAAUUAAAGAAUGGGAACCUAUUUUCAAAAAAAAUUCUAGCUUCUAUGCUAGUUAUAAAAUAGCACUAGUAAUCCAAAUAAGUAAGUGUUUGGAUUUAAUAAAUUCAGUCUGGAUCGAAUGUAACUAUAAUACUUACAUAUGAAUGAAAGAUCACCAUUGUGGUAGAUAUGCUAAAUACCACAGGCUGAUUGGUUAAAAAACAGAAUUCUAUACUUCUUAUCCUGGAGCCGGAAAAUCUGAGGCCCAAGUGCCAGCAGAAUCAGUUCCUGGACAAGGCUUUCUUCUUGGCUUGUAGGUGGUCAUCCUCUUGCUGUUUCCUCCCAUGGAGGAAAGAGAUAUCUGACAUCAUUUCUUCUUUUGAUAAGCCAUCAUGAUGGCUGCAUUGUCAUGAUCAUUUCUACACUUAAUGUCCUCUCAAUGACUGAUGCCCAAAUGGAAGCACACUAGGAAUCAGGCUACAACACAUGAAUUUUGGAGCAAACUUAAUUUCCUCUCUAGUACUCUCUAUAUUUAAAAUCUGCUUCAUAAACUUUCUGUCUGAAGACAUUUGUAUCUGUCUGCUAUAAGACUUUUACUUUAUAACCAUAUGAUCAAACAAAACUUAAAUAACAAAAAUAUAAGGUAUUCUAUGCUGGAUAAAAUUUUACAAUGUAUUCAAUUGUGAAGCAGGAAAGAAACGGAUGUGACAUUUUAAAUCCAAUAUAUACUAUGUUAAAGAAGCAUCAAAUCAUUUUUAAUAACAUACUCUCUUGCCAAAAAAGUAAAUAGUUUUAUCUCUUCUCUGAGAGUUCCACAUAAAGCAAAGUUGGUUAGAUAUCUUCAAAUAUGAUUUAAACCGUAAUUUUUGAUGUCAAUGAUAUUUGACAUGUUAAAUUGCAUAACAAUCAAAUCCAGCUUAUUUUUACAUUCAUGAGUAAUGACAUUUAUAGAAAAUAAAAGAAGUGACUAUUUUAUUGUAUUUUUUCCUUAGGUUUCAUAAAAAUUACUAGACAUCUGUAUCUACAUAAAACUGAGAAAUAUAGAUAUUUCAAAAUUUCAAAGGCUGAGACUUUAGUAUUCUUAUACCUCCAAAAUAUUCAUUUCAUCUCAGAUUGUAUACAUGCAAGAAAAGUGUGGCUUUGAAAAAAUGUAGGCAACCUACAUACAAAUAGAACUUCUAUAAAGAUUUAAAUUUUCCAUAAUCUUUAAUAUAUGUUCAGAGUGGUGUGAUUUUAAGUGUCAUUCAUACAUAGCUGUAUCUAGCAGUAGUUUUUUUUUGAAGAUUUGUAUUGUUACAUGUUUUAACUUGUUAAAAGAAUGUUUUUCUUCAAAAUCAAAUUAAAAUACGUUUGUAAGAGAUGAAUAUAACUGAAUUUCUAAUUCCUCAUAUGUUGUUUAGGUCACUUUGGAAAUAAAUAAUUGUCAUAUAGAUGCAGAAAAUAAAUUCAAAUCUGUGAUAAAUAAAUUAAAAAUAAAUUUAUCUGUAAUAAAGAGGAAUUUAAGUCAAUAAUUUGGCCCAAUGGCAGACUUUACAAUCUUUUCCACAAAAAGGGGAGAGAAGAUAUUUUGUUACUUUGGUAGUGAAUAUUAUUUUCUAUGCUUAAAACAAAAAUUAAUGUAAUAACUAAUAUCCUUAUUUUAAUUAUAAAUGUCAGGGUAAAAGACUUUUCUAAACAUCAUCCACAGAACAUGUGAAAGGAUAAAGUGUGAGUCAGACUUUUAUAUUUGUCUGACUAUAAUGUCAUUGCACUCUUUACCAUAUUGAUUUAAUGUGUUUGAUUCAAACAGGAUGGUGCAUGGCACAGCAUGUACUCCUGGGCACCCUGUUCAUUUCAGAGGACCCUACUGGUUCUCUGUGGAAGCACCUAAUUCCUAACCAACAGCCCAACAUCAGUCCUUAGUUAUACCAACUGUAGGAGAAAGAAACUAGUGCAAUGAAUAUACUCUUUCUGCUAUAUUACCUCUUUGUACUAAAUAUUAUAUUUCCUAAUAUUAACCACCAGGUUUUAAAAAGUUAUUUAUACUUCUUGGUUUCUUUUCUCAAGUUCAAAAAAUCUAUAAUUUGUACUAAAUUUGAGAUUCAAAUUCAUGGAUAUUAUGUUCUUAUCUCACUGGCUAAAGAUUAUCAAAUAAUUUACUGAAUUAUUAAUCUUCAUACGUGGCAAAUGGUGAGAUUUAUAUUUUAAAAACAUGAUUAAUAAACAUCUCGAUUUGUUUUAUAUUUCAUAACAAGGUGCAGUUGAUUCCUGCCACUCUUUAUGACAAAUGUAUAGUAACUUUCCUGGCAAAUCGGCAUCUUACUCAACAGGUGGUUAGUGGUCCAGAUUUCACACUUUUAAUGUAAGAAACUGGUUAAGCUGGUCUGUAUGAUUUUUGACUGUAUAAGGAAUAUUAAUUCUUAUUUAACUUAAUACAAGUUAGUAAUUACUGUCUCAAUAGCAGAAAAGUUAUAUUUUUUGUUUUGUUAUUAGAAUUUAGUACAAUGAUAUUGAAGUUUGGACAAUAUGAAUACAGCACAUGAAUUUGAAAAAGUAAUAUUACUAACCAUGUAAUACAUAAAAGUGGAACACAGUGAGGUCUUUUAAGAGCCUGACCUUUUUGAACUGGACUUGAAUGGUCCUAAUGUUCACAAGUUGCUGAUUUGGAGCCACACUGGGUUUAGCUCACAAAAGUGGUAUUUUGAAACAAAUUUGCCUUUAUACUCACAGUCAUACCCUUGGGAUAUGAAUCAUUUUCCAAGUAACAUUUCAACAUAAGGGAAGUGUUUAUCACAAGAUGAAAAACAAAAUAUUCAAUGAACACAAAGAUUCGGAGGACAUGCAUGAAAUCAUCAUUACAUUGCUAAUAGACAUGUUUUAUGGCUAUUCUUUUCUAUCAGUGCAAAAUAUAAAUAUAUAGAUGGGACUAAGUUAACAAAUGAGUAAGUUAAUUAUUUUAUUUCAGUUUAAGGCAAAUGAUGUAGCCAAACUGAUGAUUCAAAAAUGAAGAAAAUCAAAGAAUAAAAAACCCAAGUUGUGUAUGGUGCUGAGCAGAGAGAUUCCUAAUGAAUUUUUUGAGCUAUAUGAAGAUACAACUCCUAAAUUACAGGCUCUGCUUUUUGUCUAUCCUUAGUUGACUUGGCUAUUUUCUAAGUCAGUGCUCAAGGUCUUGUCAUAAAUAGAGUUAAACUUAGGCAACUAAAGUCUAAAGUUAGACAAUGCAAAAUUGUGGCAUUAUGGUAAAAUGCAAAUCACAUAGAGAAAAUGAGGAACUAGAAUAAUUUUGGUGGUUAUUUGUAUUUAUUUACUAAUGGGCUGAAAAAUAAAUGGAGAAUUCAUAGGCCUGUUUCUCUAAUUCUUGGGUCAACUAAAUAUUUUGCAAAUGGCAGAACCUCUAACAAUCUCAAAAUGUUCAUGUACAAGUUGAAAUUGAGCCAAUAAUCCCUAAGAUUCUAUCUAGUGCAAAAUUUUAUAAAGUUUUUCAAUUUUCAAAUAAUUCUUUGGAUUGAACUGAUGUUGAUUUUAAGGAUGUAUACAUGUUAUGGAAAUCUUCCCAAAAGAGUUGUAGACAUCAUAGCACAUUGAUAUAUGCAUAUCCAUGUUUACAGUGGCACAAUUCAUAAUAGCUAAAUCUCAGAAACAGCCUAAAUGUCCAUUAACGGAUGGAUAAAGAAAAUGUUGUGUUUAUACACAAUGAAGUACUACUCUGCCAAAAAGAAGAUAAAAUUGAGUCAUUUAUAGGUAAAUGUAUGCAACUCAAGAACAUAAUGCUAAGUGAAGUAAAUCAGAUGCCCGAACUUAGAUAUCACAUGGUCUCCCUUAUAUGAGAAUCUCAAUACAUAAAUAAAGUGCAAAGUGAGGAAUGGACAGUAGAAAAUAGUGAGCUGGAUCUGUGGUAUAUGAGAAGGAAACAGAAAGACAGUAUUUUGGGGACACUAAUUUUUAAAAAGGGAGAGGGGUUUGUGAAGAGCCGUGAGCAUGCACCAAGUCCCUUCAAGGGGAGGGAUCAUCAAAUAAUAUAUUUAUAUAUAUAUAUUAUAUAUAAAACAUAUAUUAUAUAUAAUAUAUUUAUAUAUAUUAUAUACAUAACAUAUAUAAUAUAUAUAUAACAUAUAUAUAUGUUACAUAUAUGUUCCAAGAGGUCCAGGGAGAGGGAGGGAAGCAAGGGAGAGGGUUAAAAAAGAAAUUAAGAAAUUUCAUAAAGGGCAGGGGAUUUAGCUCGGUGGUUCGGCUGCCUGCACUGCAAGCUCAAGGGUCUGAGUUUGAUCUCUGGUACCACAAAAAAGAAAAAAAGGAAAUUUUGUAAAUAUCAUGUAUGUGUACUACCUCCCCAUGAUGAAUGUAAUCAUGAUGUACUACAAAUAUAUACCAAGAAAAUUUUCUUUAAUUAGAGAAAGAAAGAAAAUCCUCACAAAAAAUGUUGAGGGAUCUCUGAAAUUAUAAACUAUGAGAUAAGCAGUAAUAUCUCUGUCUCCUUUAUUUAGAUAUUACUAAAAGGAAAAAAAGGUCAACACUAAGUUACAUUGUCCAGAAAGAAUGUUUUAAAUCUGAAAUGAUUUGAAAUCUUAAAUAGUCUAGAGAGAUGGACUAGAAAUAAACAAAAGAAAUGACUGAUUAUGAAAAAAACCCUAAUCUUGGGUCCAAAUAUCUUUUUAACUUAAAAUUUUACACAAAAAUUAUAUAUUGUUCUGGGGUGGAGAAAAGGAUCUCUUAAAAAAUUUUAUUAUUGGAGUAGAAAUAUUAAAAUGAAUACCAAUUUCUAAGUAUUUUUUGAAAGUGGACACAUGAUUACAUAUUUGGUGUGCAUUAGCUAUAUGUAUUUUGACUUCUUCAGUAAAGCAAUGUUUACAGGAAGUCUAGUUUGGACAUAUUUUUGAUAUAAUAUAUAUCAUAAAAUUGUUCUUUUAAAUAUCGGUACAUUUUAAAAAAUGUCAACGCCAGCUUUAUUAGCUGUUCUCUAUGAAAUAAUAUUCAAAUAUUUCAAGAAAAUAAGUUUAAACCCCCACCCGAUUCAGUAAAAUAAAGUUAAAUAUGAUAAGAACAGGUGUUUCAUUAGAAAUUUAGCCAGUGGUGCAUCUUAAGAUUCCCAAUGGCAAAAAUACACUGUCACAUAUUGACCCAUUGGUCAGUCCACGUUAUGCUAAGUUGUACUUGUUCCUGAACACAAUUCUUGCUCUUAUAUUAAGUAGGGAUGAAAAAAGAUUAUUUCUCUCGGUUUCUUUCCAAUAGGUAGAAUCCCAGAUACUAUUACAUUAGUGCCAUUUUACAGAGCCCGAAAAUUUGUACAGUGGAAUGCAUGACCCUCUUCUACAGCUAAGAUUGAAUUCUGAGUAUGUUUGGCAUUCUUUUUGAGCUGGACUUAACUGAACUGAGAAACUGGGUGAUGUGAUCACAGUAUCUCAGGGAUCUCUAAAAUAUACUGUAACUUAUUCAAAGCUAGGUUGAGUUUUCAUUUCUUCAUAACAUUCUCCACAUUUCACUGUGAACAUUUUCUUUGAUGGCUACACAUACGGAACAAUCUCUUUAUCUUUAAUAUAUGAGAGAUAUUUGAACAUUAAUGAUUUAUUGAAAAAUUAUAACCAUCAAUAAAUAUUAAAACCCAAUUGUAUGAAGAUUUUUGCAAGUGAUAUAGUCAGCUUCACCUGUCAGAUGAAGUCAAUGGGGCUAUAGUUAGGUGGCUUGAGGUCACAAGGUAGUAAGGCAGGGCUUGUAAAGUCAAAGCAGUCAGACUAGUGUGUUUCAUUGAUUUGAAUGCUAUAUUUCAGAUUGAAUUGAAAAUUUUAAACUUUUGUUCUCAUGCUUUUCCUUAUCAUUAUAAGUAUAUGCUUCAGGAUUUAAGGUGUGUUUUAUGUGCCUUGCACAAGAUUUUGAUCAACAGUGGACAACCUCUUAGCUACAUGUGCAUCAAUCCCCUCAGUGCUACAUAUAGGACAGCUCCAUUUUACUGCAUUAGCCAAAAUAUGUCUAAAAUUUUACAGUGAUCAAACCAUGGAAGUCUUUCCAUUUUUUUUUGUCUUAUCAGAUCCUUCCACUGCUUACUUUGACUAUGAAAAAAUGACAAGUUGGAGGAUGGUCUUGCUAUCCAGGGAUUCAAAUGUACUAUGUAUUUGAAGAGGCAAGAGUAGAGGUAAAUGAGAGAAAUAAAAAAAAAUAUUGGAAUAGUAUGGAAUAUGCUCCAGAAGAGUUUCUAUACCAAGUUACUCCACCUUUCCCCAUCACACUCUUGUCUUGUGUUUCUCAGAAGCAUUUAAUACUUCUGCCCAAGUUCUCCCAUAAGUUAUCAUAGCAUACUUAACCUCUGAGUUCAAAAGCUGCAGCCGAUGUUGCUCAGGAUGUGUUCUGCUUGUUCAAACAGUAUUUCCAUCCCCAUACUUGGAAAUACUUAGAGUCACACAGCUGUCUAUGUUUCUUGGCCUAUGAACCACCUUCCUAAAAUGAGUAUAUAAAUAAAAUUCUCAGGUGAGAUAAGUUAAUUAAACUAAACUAGAAUAGCCCAUCUCUUUCUGGCACCUUUAGUCAAGUAAACUGUCUAGAAGCAUCUGCCCAGUCCUGAUUGACCCAUCUGGAAAGAAUAGUUCUUGUUCUGUCACAGAGGUCUAAAAAAGAGACACAGGAAUGGGUAUUACAAACCUUCAGAUGUACCAACUGGCAUCAUUCUAUCGUAGGUAGGACUGCAGUUCCUCCCAUUUACCUUAUGAAUAAAAAAUGCAUAAUUUUAUUAUACUAAUUAAAAAAUGGUUUGCAGCUAAACCCAUUUCUGUAGAAAAUAUUACGCUGGAGGUGGUUCUUAAUGCUACCUUAUUGGUUAGGUCUAGUUUUUCUCUCUUUUAAGGUUUUCAAAGAACCCUGUGUAUGUGGUAAUUAUAUCCUUCACCAAAACUGUUGAAAUAAUGAACUGAUCUGAAUUUCUCUUAUUUGUAAAGGCUGUGUUAUAUUGAGGACUAGGUUUUAACACCAAGCCCCGCUCUGCUUGUCACAAAUCAGACCCCCUCAAACCACUAAGCUAUUUUUGAAAGGAAUUUAAAAAGAGUCAGUGUUAUAAAGUUUUGAUGUGGCUACUAUUUCUGAACAGUAUUUCCAAAAUCUGUGAUUAUUCUCUACUUCAGAGAGAAAAGGUCUACAUACAACCUUCAAAUUCUCUAAUGUUCAAAGGGGCAGACAGCGAGCUUCCUGCGUGAGCUAGUCCUUGAGUCGGCGUCCUGUGUUGGGCACAUCCAGACAUUUCCAUUCCAGUUCUGAUUGGGACAUGCCACCACGAAUGUUCAAUUAUUCCAGCAAUCUCAGUCUUGUUCUCCAGUUUGUCUUCUCUCCAGCUUGCUAAAUUCAGUACACUACAUUCUAAAAUUGAUUAUCAACAAUACAGGCAUAACUUUAUCUACAAGAGAUCUUUGUAUACCCUGUUCUCUGUCCUCUGAAAUUUUGCUCCAUUCUCCCACAUUUUUAUUGUCAUUGUUAAUGUCACUCAUUCUGGAAAUAUAAGAGAAAUUUUGUUAAGUAUGUAAUGUGUUCCAUGAGACUUUGUAUACCUCAGAUGUUUUUCUUUUUUUUGGAAGAAAAGGAGGCUUUUCAAUGAAGAUAUCGUCAUUGUAUUUUAAAGUGAAGUCUUUGACUGAAAUGGCAUGGAAGAGAUGCCUCCCUCAGCAAUAGUUUAGUCAAAUAAGCUGGGCCCAAGAAAAAAUAAUUAUUGGAUAAAGGAAAGUCACUAUAAAAUUAAUCUUUAAUGUGGAAACUAACUAAAAUUUUUUUCAUUAGCUCUGCUACUUUAAGUGUGUAGCAGUGAUGUAAUACAUGCAUACUUCUAUUGCCUUUUGCAAUUUAGCAAUAGAUAUACUGUGAAAGAUUGUCACAGAGUCCAAGGGGGCCCUCUGAACCCUUUCUAGUCAGACUUCCCUACUCAGCACCUUUCCAGUUUGUUAGAGUCCCAGCUCUUCUAGAACUGUGCAUGAUUACAAUAUUAAGUACAAUCAUAAUAUGGCUUUUAAUUUGUUUCAACUUAUUCAUUGCUUUCUGAGUAGCCCUCUUAUUAUCCCAAUGUCUAUGGCAUAUCCAUCAUCUAAGCCUACUGGAGCAUCAAUUUUAGACAGAAUAAACAUGCCUGAAAUUUUUAAAGUUUUUAAAGACAACAAUGUUUCUCAGGCUUAAAUUUAGAAAGAACUCUUUAUGGUUGCUAAUAUUUCAGGUACUAUGCAGACUGAAGCAGUCAUCAAAGCAAGCUAUGCAACUGCUAACAUAGGACAAGUAUGACUUAUGGAACUCAAUAAAAUUGCAAGUAUAUUCCCCUUCUCACUUUAAACAUUUCGUGGAGGAACAGAUCUUUUGCCUUCAAUGAAGUCUCUGCAGGCUUUGUGACUUUCCUUCCCAGUCCCAGAUCAAAAGAUGGGCCAGACGUAUUUCCUCUUUAGGUGUCAGGAUCAUUGGUAUAUCUGAAUGUUUGCUAAGUAAAAAAGAAUUUAGUAAUUUUAAAGUAUUAAGGAUUUCAGGAAUUACAGUCAGAGGGCACACACAUAUACUGUAUUUUUCUUUUUUCUUGACAAGUCUUCCUUUAUUUCACCAUUCUCCACCUAGUGAUGGCUUAAAUUUCUAUCUUCAUUUCAUUCUGUUCCUGAGCUCAUAUGCAUUUCUUCCUAUGAUCUUUUGUUUCUCUUAUUUCCUUGUAAAACUUACCCUUAAAUGUUUUAAAUGAGGCUGAAAGGUGAUUUGUCUGAGUGCAGGAGCACACAGGACAGGGUGAGUCAUAGGAGAGCAAAAAUAAAUUGACGAGUGUCUUAGAAAUAUAAAAACACAGAUCAGAAUUAAGAGACAAGCAAUAUGGAGCCAUUCUACAUUCCAAAGUAGAGAAGUGCUUAAUCUUAUUAGACAUUAAUCAGAAUCCAUAUUUGAGGACUUCAUUCUUGUGUUCUUAUGAAAAUUUCUUUUCAGUAAUGAUGUUAAAUUUCUAUUAAAACAAAGACUUUUCAGAACUAUAAAAAGUAUUUAAAAUAAAUCAGUCUUUUAUUAAUUUUCUAUGAAAUCUAGUAAAAUUUUAAAAAGAUGUUAUGAUAUGAAGUAAUUUUUAAAGGUAAAUGUAAUUCCCUGUUGAUGAUAAAACAUGUAAAUUAUGAGACCUACUUCUCCUUUUAUCUUACUGAUUUAAUUUUACAGAUCCAUUUAUUGCAUACAGAAAUAUUCACACACACAGAUUUGUGAAUCUAUUUCAUAUUGUAUUUGUAUUUUUCUUUACAAUAUCUUACCAGUGAUAACAUAUUCUUUUCUUAUAAUCUAUGAAAUUUCAAAAGAACUUAUUCCCACAUACUAAGAGAUUUUCUCCCAUUUUUUCUUUAUAUAAUUAAAAAUGUGUAUCUUUAUAUAUGUUCAAUAUAUCUUAUUUAAAAUACUUGAGAGUAAAAAUACUUUAGAUAUUUUUAGGUUUUGGAAUAUUUACCUAAACAUAUUGAGACACUUGCCUAUGGAUCCCACUGUUAACAUGAAAUUCUUUGAAAUUUCAUAUUUGCUUUAUACUCAUACUCUGAAGGUAAUCUUGCAUAAUACUUUUAGUGUACCUUUGUUUUGACUGCAAACCAUCACAUGAGGUCAUGUGGGAUUUUCUAUUUCUAAUAUGAUGUCAGCGCUCAAAAAUUUUGUAUUUUACAGGAUUUCAGAUUUCUGAUUUUCAAAUUGGGGAUGUUCAAACCUUACUACAUUAAAAGUUUUUUGACACCCUAUUAAGAAGUACUAUAUUGUUUUUCAUCUAUUUCAUGUUUUCUAAGUUUAGAAGACUGGCUGCCUUUUUACUUAAUCGAUUUACAUUAUUAUAAAGUACUUACACUUGAGAUAUACUGUAUAAUCUAAUAUAAACACUAUUGGGUACCAAUAUUUAAAUUUAGAAAUAAAUUUUCUAUAGAAAAGAAUUUAGCAAAGGAGACUGAAAGAUUGGCCAGGGAAAAAGGAAAGGGGGAUUCAAGUGAGAAAAAAAAAUAAGCAUGCACAUGUUUGAAAAAUGAGUGUUUUACUUCCAUCAAAGAUUAUUAAUAAAUCAAAUACCAUAAAGACACAAACUUGCCUAUUGAAUAGGGUAACAUGGAUGUCAAUGAUAAUCUUGAAAAGAGUGAAUUCAGCCUGUGAUUGGUUUGGGCAAGGAGAACGGUGGUUUUUGUUCAGAAGAGAAUGAGAUUGACUGUGUACUCCCUCUGAAAUCAGAACCCACUCACAUGAAGAGGGACCAGAAAACUAGCGUUAAGUAAUGAAUGUGUGGUAUACAGUGAGAGUUUUUAGAUAAUAUCAAGAUAUAAAACAUUCAGAUGCUGAUGCAAAUGUUCUAACAAAUUCUAAGGGGAAAAACUGAGGUCCAGUCAUUGUAGAAAAUUUAAUUUUGGCAAGAUGCACCAUUGUCUUUGUUUGCUUUUACAUUACUUAGUGAAGCAAACCAAGAAUAUUACCUAUGAAUAUGAAAAGAGGAAGUUGUGAUGGACAUGUAAACAGAUAAAUUGAAUAUAUUUCUCUGAAAAUAGGAGUGCAUUUAGACCAAAGAAAAUUAGAUUAUUCAUCUGUGUUGUUUAGCGAUUAAAUUGUGUUGAGAGAAGUCAAAAGGAUUUGCAUUCCACAUUCAACUCUUCUGGUACAGACAUUAAGAGGUGGAGGUGAAUUUCUUUAAAGGUAAAUGUGUGUGUGUGUGUGUGUGUGUGUGUGUGUGUGAAAGAGAGAGAGAGAAGAAAGUGUUUAUAAGAAAAUGAUUACUUUUAGAAGUCACAGAAUACUUGAAUAGGAGAAAUAUGGCGAUUUUAAGAAGAUUGGCAGUGAGAAAGUAUAAGCUCAGUGGGUUAGAACUCCUUGUAGAGACAGCUGACUUAUACAAAUGUGUUACUUGAAGAAAUUUUUGCAUUUCAUUAUUUUUAUUAACAUUUUAUCUAUAGCUCUUUGCACUCAUUUUCAAUAUAUACCCAUGUUAUCACAAUCCACUUCAUGUUACCAUUUUACUAUUUCAUUGGAUAAAGGAAGCAUGAACAGAAUAGUUACUGCUGUCCCAUGUUUUGUAUGUGGAGUUGCUGAUUUGCUGAGUUGCUGUGUUGAAGGGCUUGGUAAUUGGAAAAUGUGAAAUUGAUUAAAUUAUCUAAGGAAAAUUUUGAUUAUUUCUAAUGGUUUUGUGUUAAAUAUUUAAGAUUGAUUAUAGAUUUUUUUUAAUUCAAUGCUUAUAACUUGGAAAAUGUACUAUUAUGUUUCCCUAAUGAUUAACUGACUUCAUAACGGGAAUUCUGAUCACACUGGAUGACUAAGUGGCUAAAACAUUUGAAUUCUUAAGCAACACAGACUUGUUUUGAUUUAAUAGCCCUUAGCAGAAAAGAAAGGAGACCCUUGUAGGACAAUUUUUUUCAAAUAAUCUCAAGUAAUUUCCAUCUAUAAAAUGAUAUACUAAUAUAUGUAAAAUGAUUCACUCCAAAGCUCUAAUCUAAGACAUUUUUAAUGUGAAAAAUUAAAUUAUUUUUAAUAAAAUUUAAACCAUUAGUUUGCCUAGUGUGGAUACUGCCAUUUUCCUUGGGAAACUUGCCAUCAAUCUCGUAUUUGAGUAAGAGGAAGAGAGAGAGAUACAGAGAGAAGAGAGAGAGAGAGUGAGAGAGAGAGGGAGGGACAGGGACAGGGAGAGAGCAAGUGAAAAAAGGAGAAAGUAGGUUUUAUACCUUCUUUUCUUUCAAUCUCAGGCACUCUAAAAUUAUUUAUAUACAGCCGUUAUGUAUAGACACCAAAUCAUUUAUAGAUAACUUCUGAUUUAUGACUAUUAUUUUAUUACAAUACAAAUAUUAAAUAAGUUGAAAAACAAUACGCUACAAUUCUGUAACAUAAAGUAAUUCAAUUAGGUAGAAGUUAUAUCUAGAUUUGGAUAAUAUAAUUGAUUUGACAAAGGAAAUUUAGUCUUUAAAUAUACAAAUAUGUGCAUGCUUUUCAACUUUAAAAUGAAUCAUAUAUUGUUUGAUGAAAUAUAUUUAUAUAUAGUACAUAUAUGUCUAUGUAGAAGAUUAUUUUCUCACAUAGCACAUAAAACAAUGUGUGUGUAAAUUUAUAUGUUAACAUCCAGAUUCCUAUUUAAGGACAAACAAUUUAAGUAGCUGCUGUCCAAAUGAACAAAGUAUGUCUACAAACAACUUUACUUAAAGGCUACAUCUUAUCAUUAAUAUGAAGGUUAAAAAAGAUACAGUCCAAGAUGCCACUUACUUUUAUCUUUAAUUCUAGAAUCAUCUAUUUAGCAAAAUUAUUUCUGACAGUUGCUUCAAAUUUCAAACUCCGUACCCAAACUGCCAACACCUAACCUUUAGCUUCUUACUUUCUCAUAUGAUAUCAUGGAACUUACAGUUUCUACUCAGCCGUAGACCUACUCAUCUUGCUUAUCUGUGUUCAGGUGACUUUUUGCAUAAGAUCUAUCAGUAUGUUCAACUCUGGCUUUCCUAUGACAGCUUCAGAAUCAUGAUUAGGUGUCUCAUUUAUCUUUCUUGUCUCCUGAGUGCGCACUGUCUCUCUCUCUCUCUCUCUCUCUCUCUCUCUCUCUAUAUAUAUAUAUAUGUAGGAUGCAUUAGUUGAUAAUUUAUUCAUAUUCAAUAUAGGGAAUAUUUUACUUUACCUUUUACUUUACAUUUUAUUUAAAAAUUAUUUGUAAAAAUGACAUACUUAUUGUGCUGCUCAGGAGGCUCAUACUAACACAGCUACCUUCUGCAACAAAAUGAAGAAGUUAAAAAAAUCUUUCUGAGAUUCUGGGUUAGUACUCAUCUUAUAAAACAUUAAUUUUGGCUUUGAUUGAGAACAUUUAAUUUGUAGUCAUAUUUCAAAGUGGCUACCUUCUUGGAAAAGUUCCACUCAUUAUUCAAAAGCACUUAAAAGUAAAUUCCAAUGGGAAGCUGUCACUAUUUCCGUAAUACCGAGGUGCAUCUCACUUUGUGUUUUUGUGAUGCUUUGUAGCUGUGUCCUAUUUUGAUUGUCUCAUUCUCAUAACUGUUAACAUGUAUGUCACUUCCACUGUAUAUUAUUAACCUAUUUGGAAUAUUACAUUGCCUAUUGUUCUUGUUGACACUUGUGUCCUUGCCUUAAACAUUAAGAAAGAAAAGACCAUUAUUUCUUUCCAUAAGUCUUUCAUGAAAUUACAUUUUAAGAAGAAAAGAUGGUAUAUAUAUAUAUUUGUGUAAGAAGUUUUUAGCCAUAUAUGGAAAUUUAAAUAUUAAAUCAGGUCGAUAUGUAUAAUUGAAAUAUGACUAUCACUUACUUGCAACAAUCUCAUUGCUAUGAAAGUUUACAAAGAGAUUUUUGAGUAUUCAAAAAGAAGGCUUAAUAACAAUUGAAUAAUAUAAUGAAGCAGAAAUUAAAGACAAAGUAGAGAAUUGAAAGAAUAUAGGAUUAGUUGUCAAUGUAGUUCUUAAAUAGAAUUACAGGAGGCAAUAGUUUUGGACUGAUUUCCUUCACUAGACCACAAUAGACCAAAACAAAAUGGAGCUACUCAUGGUAAGCCACUCUGUGCUACCAAACUGAAACUAAAUUACUAACUUUCUGAGAAAACUAGAAGAAAAAGAAAAUGUAGUAUUGAUACACGAUGGGGUAUUGCUGAACAGUCGGAUAAACUUGAGUCAUUUUUAGGAAAAUGGAUGCAUGUUGAAAUUAUAAUGUGAAAUGAAAUAAAAUAUCACAUAUUUUCUCUUACAUGAGCAAUUCAAUAUAGGCAUAAAGUGAAAUGAAAGACAAUUAAUAGGAAAAAAGAGAGAGAAAAACUAUUUCUAUCUGGCAUGGACAAUAUAUCUAAAAGUGUACCUUAAUUUAAUAUAAUUAUCUUUUAUGUAUUUUAUAUGUUUUCUUCUAUUAGUCUUGUUAAUCUGCAUAUACAAUAAUUAACUUUAAAAUGGCUUAUAAGAUAAGUAAAUAAAUCUGAUACUGGCAAAAUAAAAGAGUGGAGGGGAGAGGAAAAUAAAAGAAUUGAGAUGUAUUGUGUAAAUUUCUUACAAAGAAUCCAAACAUUAUGUACUCUUAAUAUGUACUAAUAAGAAUUUAAAAUAAAAAAAUAAUAACCAGAUUUCUAAACAGCUCAGUUUAUCCUUCAUGAUAAGGUAAACCCUCCUUUAACAUUAAAAGGAAAGCAACCUGAAGUAAUAUGAAAUUGACCAAUGCACUUUUGUAUCACAGCUGUUCCUUUGUUUCUGCAAUUAUUACAGUUUAAUAACUGACUGUUCCUCCAUGCCCAGAUUAGCUGUUCCUAAAGAUUUAGAUGAAAUUCUUCUACCCAAAUUCAUGAAUUACCAAUAGAAACAAGUUAUAUUUUUAAACUAGAUUUGUGAUAAUUUUUGUCUCUUGGCAUAAUUAUACAUACAUAAAAUGGAUUGACUUUCAUUAUAAUAAUACAUGAAACAUUCAGAGGCUGCAAAGUAAUCUUUAUUAGAUAGUUUGGUUACUUUACAUCAUUUAUUAUUUGAUUCCCAAAUUGUUGUACUUGGCUCAGUUGGAACUUAUAUUUAAUUAUUUCUAUUUCAAAAUUUGGGGAUGAAAAUAAAAACGUUAAUGAGAAUAAAUAAAACAUGCUGUAGUUGUUAUUAACACGGAAAAUGUUUUAUUGGUAAUAUGUUUAAACUUUAUAAUAUGAAAGAUAUUUUAUAUUACAUAGCCUUUUAUAACACUCAGGAAUUUUCUGAGUGUUCCUAGGAAAAAUGGGAGAUAAAGAGGUGGCAAUUUUAAUUCAUUAUCAUUUUAUCCAAAAACUCAAGGCUUACUAGUAGACUUUUAAUAUGAAGAUGAUACACAUUUAUUUAAUAAUCAAGAGCUCACUAUUAGGGAAAUAAUAUAUAUAAAGGAAUAAAACGUAUCUUUUAAAUAGAGGCAACAGAAUUUAAUGUUAUGACAAUUAUAACAGAUAUAUGUUACUUGUGUAUCUUUGCUUUAUUUUAUUGUUCAUCAGGUGAUAUUUGUUCUUCAGGGAGUAAAAUCUACUAUUAGCAAUUAAGACCACUGGGUAAUACAUAAAAUAUAUAUUAUUUUUAAAAAAUUUAUAGACCUUUCUAAUUCAUCAUCUGCUCUCUAUGUGCAGUCCUAGAAGGCUUUGGUGGUUAGAAAGUAGUUGGAAACUGAUUCUUUAAGGACUUAAGGAGGAAGCAACUUCAGCUUUGAUAAGGAAUAAAUCUGCCAUAAAUUUCCAUAGAAUCAGACUGAAUUAAUGGUUUGAAUUCAAUGCCUCCAUAGUGAAUUCAUAUAAAUCUAAGGCUUUUAACAGUUGGAUAGGCAAACAUAAUUCACUGAUACACAAUCUUGUUAAUUUAUAGUAAUAUGGAAUAUUUUUAAAAUACAGAGAAAACAUUUAUAAUAAAACACAUAUUAUAAAAAUACUUAUAUUAUAAAAAUUCAAAUGCAUGUUAAAAAUGAAAGACCGAGGUAUUGUUCAGAAAAGUAGAAUAAAAGCCUUCAUUUCCUUCUUCCAAGAAAGGGACACAUGUGGCCAAAAAACAGAGGCUUCUUCUGAUCCCAGCUUCCUCACGAGCUGUGGUUCCACAGUGAGAGGAGCUGAGUUCCUCCUCUUCUUAUCCCACUGCCCUGUGCUGUGGAUCCUCUUGACCAGGGCACUGUGGUUGGGAAGUGUAUACUUUAGUUUUUCCACCAAAUCUCACAAAAUAGAUUUUAAAUCAAAAAUCUUGCUAAACAAGAAAGAUAUUUCUUAAUAAAAGUAUAUAUCAACCCUUCAAGAGGCUGAAAGUAUUCUAAAAUGUUAAAAUAGAACACAAAAAUGUGUGAAGCAAACACUUUUAGAGCUGAAGCAAGAAAAUGAAAUUGAAUAUUAACAGUUAAAGACAUCAGCGUACCACUGUCAGUAACGGAUGAGAAAAUGAGACAGAAGAUCAAGGAAAUAAAAGCUUUAUUCUAUAAAUAUGGGGCCUAAGACAUCUACAAAACACACUCAAUAGCACCAGAAUACUCUUCUUCUUGAACAUCCUCCAAGACCCUAUGAUAGAACAUAAUGGAAUACAAACAACAACAAAAAAUGUUGGUACUGGGGAUUGAACUCAGGGCCUUUUCCCAGAGCUUUGUACCCAGACCUCUUUAUUUUUAUUUUCUGUUUUAAGACUGGAUCUCACUAAGUUGCUAAGAUGGCAAGGUGGGGCUCAAACUUGGAAUCCCUUUGCCUCAGCAUACGAGAGUAGUGGGAUUACAGACAUGCACCCCACACUCCAGUAACAUAUAAAUCUUAAAUGACUGAAGUCUCAGUAAGUAUAUUUUCUCACAAAAAAUAAAUUAAAUAAAAAGAAGUAACAGAAGAACAUUUAAAAAAUUCUCAAGUAUGUAGAAAUUAAACACACUCUCAGAAAUAACCAGUGGGUCAAAGAAGAAAUGACAAAAUUUUAAAAAAUCAGAAGGAAAUAGAAAUGGUACUACCGCAUAUCAAAAUUUAUGGAAUACAGGAAAUUUGCCCCAGGAUGGCAAUUCAUACCUCUAAACGUCUAUAUUAAAAAGAAGACAGAUCUCAAAUCAAUAACCCAAGCAAGCAGAAAAAAAGAACAAAUGAGAAAAAAGCUAGCAGAGGAAGAAAAUAAUAAUAAUUUGAGGAGCAAUUGCUACUAUAAAGAACAGAAAAGCAAUACAGAAAUUAAAUAAAACCAAAAGUUGCAUCUUUGAAAAGAUGUACAAAUCGACAAUUUUUCAGUGAAAAUGACCAUGAAAACAAGAAAAGAGACACUAAUUACUAAAAUUAGGAAUAAAAGAUAGAUCCACCACUAUGCAACUUUACAAAGAUAUGAAAGAAUUCCAAACAAUAGUAUAAAUAACUUUAUGCCAGAAAAUUAAAUAAUUUAGAAAAAAAUAGAAAAUUUCCUUGAGAUCCAGCCUACCAGUACUGAGUCACAAAGAAAUUUUAAAAAUCCUAUAAAGCUAUAACAUUAUAGAAAUAAGACUAGCAUUUUGAAAACUUCCCAUACACAAAAGGCCCUGACCAAGAAGUCUUUGCUGUUAAUUUUUAUUGCAUACUAACUCCAAUCCUCAUAAACCCUUCUAGAAAAACAGAAGCAAAGAAAACCUUCCAUAUUCAUUCUAUUAGUUGACAUAACUUUGAACCAACACCAUAGAAUAUUCUAAAAACAAAAUACCCAAAAAACAAAUAAAUAAAAAGAAUAUCAAGGCCAAAAUAACAAAGCCAAACAUAAUUGCAGCUUGAUGUCCUUAGAAUUAAAAAAAUGAACUUCAACAAAUGUUAGUGAAUUUAAUUUAGGCACGUAUAAAAAGCAUUAAGUACCCAAAGUAAAUGCCAUUUAUCCAGAAAUGAAAACGUAUAUUAUAACCAUAAUAUGCAGAAAAACAUUAACAAAGUUAAUUAGUUUUUCAAGAAUAAAAAACAAACAAAAUUCAGCAAACUAAGGGAACUUGAAUAAAGGACUUCCUCAAAUAAGAGACAUUUUUGAAUACCCACGCAGUGUCUAAGCAAUGCCAUCCAUGAGUGCUGCAACAGGCUGGGCUAUUCAUUACCACUGAAAGCUCUAAAAGGUUUGCCAUCAUUGCGCCAGAGGUAAAGAUGACGUUUGAUUUCCCUAUAUUAUCAGUGUACUAAUGACGGACACCCACAUAUCUAGAAGCAAUUAUUUGAAAAGCAACCCAACUGUGUAAUCAUUAGUUGGCAAAGGUGAUGGAAAUGUUUGUUUAAGUAAACAUUCUGAUGAUGUUUAUCAGUAUUUCUAAGUGCAUCAUGGAGGAGACCUUGCCCACUUAUAUUCCUACUUUCUAAUUACAAGAAAAUUACAGAGCGAAUAAGUCCAUGAUCUAUGUUAAGUAAGAAAGAAUUAUAUUGAUCUUGUGUUAAGUGAAGAAAAAUGUAAAUACACUGGAUCAUAAAAUACACUAAAAUAGUUCUUGGUCAUCACUUUACCUGGAAUGGAGUUAUACAUUUUCAAAUCUAUUAAAUAUGUGGCAUAUUACAUUUAUGUUCUAAAACUGGGUAAAAUGUUUCUUAGCUUUUAUUUCAGAUAGAACUACCUUCCAUCUGCAAAUUUCCAGGAAUCUUGAAAUCUGUAGAAAGAAUAGAAGCUUUUCUAGCUUGCAUUCAGUAAAUCUUUCCCUGUAGGACAUCAUUUUUCAGUCUUCAAUCCCAUUGUAAUAUACUGUCUUCUGGUAAAAGUAUAUGUGUUUGCAUAAUAUUUAUCAAAUCUUAAAAUUGUCUCCUUUAAUUAAGUUUUCUUUUAUUGUGUAUAGUAAGACAUUCCAUGUGGCUUGUAUUUAAUGUCAGCUGUUCAUAAGGUAAACACAACAUAGUUUAUGUCUUAAAAAUUUCCAACACCAUUCUUUCCCAGAAAGUUUGAAAUGGAGUUUACUACCUGGUUAGGUCUUUCAAAAGAAACUCUAAAGCUAAGCUGCAAAACUCAAAACAACCACACGAACAAGUCUUCUUUAAAAAGUUUUCAGGUAAAUUUUACUAUUAUUUAUAACCAAGCUUUUUUUUUUUUUUUUUCAUUUUCAUGUCAGGUAGGGCAUCAGUUAUGAAACUAUUUUGUGAAAAAUUAUUAUAAUUUGUAAAAGUAUAGACAACUCAUUCCUUUUUGAUAAAAUUAAGUAGUAACAACUUUUAUUUCUACAAUUCAUAUAACAUCAAUUUAGACUCUCUAAAUGAAUGUACACAAAAUGACACCUUCUGUAAUGAAUUAAUUUAGACACUCUAGUUUCAAAGAAAAGGUGGGGCCAAAGUAUAUGGACUAUUGAAGUGAGGGACAUGUAAUGAUGAUGACUCUAUGUUUAAUAUUUAAGUCAUUUAUUUCAUACUGACGAGAUACUAGAGCCAUUUGUCUUAACUCCUGGCUUUUGAAGACAUGAAACACCUACUUUAAUUAGAGAAGCAAUAAACAUGUACAUAGAUAAAGAGACAUAAAUAUUAGUGAAAGAGUAGAUGUAAGUUCACGGAUAUAUUUAGAAAUAUGUUACACAUAUAGAUGAUAUAAAUAUGAAUAUCUGUAUAGAUUGAUAAAACAUAGAAAUAUUAUUAUAGAUAAUGUUGAGCAUAAAAAAAUCAACAUGUCAGUCUACAAAGCUAGGGAAACAUGGUGGCUCAGUCCAUUAUAUUGACAAUUUUCCUUUUAGAUAAUUUUUUCUUUCAUUGUGACAUUAAGUGUUGUCAGUAUAAAUAAGUUGCUAAAAAGAAUACUUCAAAUAUCACAAAAGUUCAAAUACUAAAAGUAUUAAUAAAAUAUGCAUUUGAUGUUGAUGUUGCAAAUUGUGCAGAAAGAUAUAUCUUUUCUCCCCUAAAGAAAUUUUGUGUAUUUUUAUUUUCAAUUAGUGUUUUUAUAGACUGUUUGUUUGCAUACAGUAUUGUUCUUCUGUCUAACUUCAAGCCAUAAAACCUUUAUGACCUUUAUGUUUUGAAUCCAACAAAAUAUGUAGUAUAUCAUUGCCAACAGCAAUACUUUUAUACUGAAAAACUACCUGAUAAAUUUAGUAAAAAAUGAUUUAAUUUAAAUAUCAAAAUCUCAUUACUUAAAACUUGAAAAUUAUUACAGUAUACUUAGUAAGUAGUAUUUAUAAAAUAUUUAGUUAUUAAUUAUAUUAGGCAACAUUUUAUGGAAGUAUGAAAAUUACAAAUUUGAGAAUUAAUAUUAACCUUUACUUCAGAUAAGCCUUAACAUUAAGUUCUGCAAAUAUACUAUUAGACAAGUCAUAGGCCAUUGCAAAAAAAAAAAAUGAGUGGAAAAGCCUGACCUUCACUUGCUUGCUUAUUAAUUUGGGAUCUCAGAUCCUUUUUGAUAGGUCUCCCACCACCUCAGCAGCUAUUAAGUAUAGUAGCUGCCCUCUUCCUAUGGUGCCUUGCCACCUCCCCUGUGUGACAUCAUGCCAAGAUGGUUGCUCCCACCAAAGAACAAACCCUUCUUCCCAGCAUGCCCCUGUUCCCACCUAGACAGUAACCUAAUACUCGCUCACCUCCUACCACCUAGUGACA